ACGGCCCACCAAGCCCACGAUAUCUAGGGGUUCUGAGAGGAAGGUCCCCCACAUUGGUACUGAGACACGGACCAAACUCCUACGGGAGGCAGCAGUGAGGAAUAUUGGUCAAUGGACGAGAGUCUGAACCAGCCAAGUCGCGUGAAGGAAGACGGAUCUAUGGUUUGUAAACUUCUUUAGUGCGGGAACAAAGCGGCGUCGUGACGCCGGAUGAGUGUACCGCAAGAAUAAGCAUCGGCUAACUCCGUGCCAGCAGCCGCGGUAAUACGGAGGAUGCGAGCGUUAUCCGGAUUUAUUGGGUUUAAAGGGAGCGCAGGCUGCGAGGCAAGUCAGCGGUCAAAUGUCGGGGCUCA
RNAcentral lists this ribosomal RNA (353 nucleotides) under uncultured bacterium. RNAcentral describes it as "bacterial SSU rRNA". It matches the Rfam family "Bacterial small subunit ribosomal RNA", at positions 260 to 611 of the family's 1533-position model. The record is from RNAcentral.